RNAcentral lists this ribosomal RNA (116 nucleotides) under Schistosoma mansoni. RNAcentral's name for it is "5.8S ribosomal RNA". It matches the Rfam family "5.8S ribosomal RNA". From Rfam's summary of the family: 5.8S ribosomal RNA (5.8S rRNA) is a component of the large subunit of the eukaryotic ribosome. It is transcribed by RNA polymerase I as part of the 45S precursor that also contains 18S and 28S rRNA. Lineage: Eukaryota; Metazoa; Platyhelminthes; Trematoda; Strigeidida; Schistosomatidae. The record is from Rfam by way of RNAcentral.
AACUUUGAGCGGUGGAUCACUCGGCUCGUGUGUCGAUGAAGUAUGCAGUGAAUUAAUGUGAACUGCAUACAUCUUUAAUCUAUUGAUGGAAGGUAUAAAUAAUUUCAUGAGUUUGA